Molecule: ribosomal RNA, 457 nt
Filed under: uncultured bacterium
Lineage: Bacteria
Description: bacterial SSU rRNA
Rfam family: Bacterial small subunit ribosomal RNA
Source: RNAcentral
AUACAGGCUAGCGGCGGACGGGUGAGUAACACGUGGGUAACCUGCCCAAGAGAUCGGGAUAACACCUGGAAACAGAUGCUAAUACCGGAUAACAACAGAUGAUGCCUAUCAACUGUUUAAAAGAUGGUUCUGCUAUCACUCUUGGAUGGACCUGCGGUGCAUUAGCUAGUUGGUAGGGUAACGGCCUACCAAGGCGAUGAUGCAUAGCCGAGUUGAGAGACUGAUCGGCCACAUUGGGACUGAGACACGGCCCAAACUCCUACGGGAGGCAGCAGUAGGGAAUCUUCCACAAUGGACGCAAGUCUGAUGGAGCAACGCCGCGUGAGUGAAGAAGGGUUUCGGCUCGUAAAGCUCUGUUGUUGGUGAAGAAGGACAGGGGUAGUAACUGACCUUUGUUUGACGGUAAUCAAUUAGAAAGUCACGGCUAACUACGUGCCAGCAGCCGCGGUAAUACGUA